UACGGAGGGGGCUAGCGUUGUUCGGAAUUACUGGGCGUAAAGGGCACGUAGGCUGGCUGUUAAGUCGGUGGUGAAAUCCCGAGGCUCAACCUCGGAAUUGCCUUCGAUACUGACGGUCUUGAGUGCGGGAGAGGUGAGUGGAAUUCCCAGUGUAGAGGUGAAAUUCGUAGAUAUUGGGAAGAACACCAGUGGCGAAGGCGACUCGCUGGACAAGUAUUGACGCUGAGGUGCGAAAGCGUGGGGAGCAAACAGG
RNAcentral lists this ribosomal RNA (253 nucleotides) under uncultured bacterium. RNAcentral's name for it is "partial 16S ribosomal RNA". It matches the Rfam family "Bacterial small subunit ribosomal RNA", at positions 524 to 776 of the family's 1533-position model. The record is from RNAcentral.